RNAcentral lists this ribosomal RNA (475 nucleotides) under uncultured bacterium. Its description in RNAcentral is "partial 16S ribosomal RNA". It matches the Rfam family "Bacterial small subunit ribosomal RNA", at positions 28 to 507 of the family's 1533-position model. The record is from RNAcentral.
GACGAACGCUGGCGGCGUGCCUAAUACAUGCAAGUAGAACGCUGAAGGCGGAGCUUGCUUCUCUGGAUGAGUUGCGAACGGGUGAGUAACGCGUAGGUAACCUGCCUGGUAGCGGGGGAUAACUAUUGGAAACGAUAGCUAAUACCGCAUAAUAGUAGAUGUUGCAUGACAUUUGCUUAAAAGGUGCAAUUGCAUCACUACCGGAUGGACCUGCGUUGUAUUAGCUAGUUGGUGAGGUAACGGCCCACCAAGGCAACGAUACAUAGCCGACCUGAGAGGGUGUACGGGCACAGUGGGACUGAGGAACGGCCCAGAGUCCUACGGGAGGCAGAAGUGGGGAAUAUUGCAGAAUGGGCGCAAGUGUGAUGUAGGGAAGACGCGUGGGGGAGGACGGCGUUAGGGUUGUAAACUCAUUUGGCCAAGGACGAAGCGUUUUGUGACGGUACUUGGAGAAGAAGCACCGGCUAACUACGUG